UUUCGAAUCAUUCACAAUGGGCGAAAGCCUGAUGGUGCGACGCCGCGUGAGGGACGAAGGCCUUCGGGUCGUAAACCUCUGUCACCGGGGAAGAAACGCUGCAUAUUAAUCGUAUGCAGCCUGACUUAACCCGGAGAGGAAGCAGUGGCUAACUCUGUGCCAGCAGCCGCGGUAAUACAGAGACUGCAAGCGUUAUUCGGAUUCACUGGGCGUAAAGGGUGCGCAGGUGGUUGUGUGUGUCAGAUGUGAAAUCCCGGAGCUUAACUCCGGAACUGCGUCUGAAACUGCACGACUAGAGCAUUGGAGAGGGUAGUGGAAUUCACGGUGUAGCAGUGAAAUGCGUAGAUAUCGUGAGGAACACCAGAGGCGAAGGCGACUACCUGGACAAUUGCUGACACUCAGGCACGAAAGCAUGGGGAGCAAAAGG
RNAcentral lists this ribosomal RNA (427 nucleotides) under uncultured bacterium. RNAcentral describes it as "bacterial SSU rRNA". It matches the Rfam family "Bacterial small subunit ribosomal RNA", at positions 355 to 775 of the family's 1533-position model. The record is from RNAcentral.